This 479-nucleotide ribosomal RNA is filed under the name uncultured Bacteroidota bacterium. RNAcentral's name for it is "bacterial SSU rRNA". It matches the Rfam family "Bacterial small subunit ribosomal RNA", at positions 28 to 506 of the family's 1533-position model. Lineage: Bacteria; Pseudomonadati; Bacteroidota. The record is from RNAcentral.
GAUGAACGCUAGCGGCAGGCCUAACACAUGCAAGUCGAGGGGCAGCACGUCUUCGGAUGGUGGCGACCGGCGCACGGGUGCGUAACGCGUAUGCAACCUACCUUUAAUUGGAGCAUAGCCCCGAGAAAUCGGGAUUAAUACUCCAUAACAACAAGAAGUGGCAUCACUUUUUAUUUAAAGCUUUGGCGGUUAAAGAUGGGCAUGCGUGACAUUAGUUAGUUGGUGAGGUAACGGCUCACCAAGACUUCGAUGUCUAGGGGUUCUGAGAGGAUUAACCCCCACACUGGUACUGAGACACGGACCAGACUCCUACGGGAGGCAGCAGUGAGGAAUAUUGGUCAAUGGGCGCAAGCCUGAACCAGCCAUGCCGCGUGAAGGAUGAAGGCCUUAUGGGUUGUAAACUUCUUUUAUACGGGAAUAAACUUAGUUACGUGUAACUAACUGCAGGUACCGUAUGAAUAAGCACCGGCUAACUCCGU